RNAcentral lists this ribosomal RNA (650 nucleotides) under Azumapecten farreri. Its description in RNAcentral is "partial 12S ribosomal RNA". It matches the Rfam family "Bacterial small subunit ribosomal RNA", at positions 530 to 1493 of the family's 1533-position model. The record is from RNAcentral. Lineage: Eukaryota; Metazoa; Mollusca; Bivalvia; Pectinida; Pectinidae.
AGUUACUCAAUUCAAGCGUUACAGUGCAAAAGGUGGUUAGACAGCCCUCCCUGUUAUUUAAGGGGUAAAUUAGGAAAAAAGAGGAUCGAUCCGGGAAGGGUAGGGGUGCAAUCCGGUUAACCCUCCUGAGGAAAGGGGUGAUUUCUUCUUUAGGCUGAGGCCACGGAACCGGGGAACCGAAGACAUGGAUUUGAGACCCAUUUAUUACCGACGCAAACUUUGCUUUAGGGCAGCUGCUUGGGGACUACGAGCGUGUGCUUAAAACUCAAAGAACUUGGCGGCAAGUUAACUACCUAGGGGAAUAUGCGUCUUAAUCCGAUGAUCCACGUGGAAUCUUACUGUACCUUGAAAAAGAGCAGCCGGUGUAUUGCCGUCGUCAGCUUGUUGUUCAAGCAAGGAGAAACAAGCUUAAUGGAGCUGGCGAUGUUAAUCGACAGGGUCCGUAAAGUCAGGUCGAAAUACUGCCUAUGGUACAAGGGAGCGGGUAUUACAAUUCAAAUUUCGAAAUACGGAGCUUGGAAGAAAUGUGAAACCUCCAGGUGAAGGUGGACUUAGGAGUAAGGGAAGAUUAAUAUGCUCCCCUGAACAUGAAACUAGCUUGUGUACAAACCGCCCGUCGCUCUCGCCGGAAGGUGAGAUAAGUCGUAACA